Molecule: ribosomal RNA, 346 nt
Filed under: Escherichia coli
Lineage: Bacteria; Pseudomonadati; Pseudomonadota; Gammaproteobacteria; Enterobacterales; Enterobacteriaceae
Description: partial 23S ribosomal RNA
Rfam family: Bacterial large subunit ribosomal RNA
Source: RNAcentral
CGAAAGGCGUAGUCGAUGGGAAACAGGUUAAUAUUCCUGUACUUGGUGUUACUGCGAAGGGGGGACGGAGAAGGCUAUGUUGGCCGGGCGACGGUUGUCCCGGUUUAAGCGUGUAGGCUGGUUUUCCAGGCAAAUCCGGAAAAUCAAGGCUGAGGCGUGAUGACGAGGCACUACGGUGCUGAAGCAACAAAUGCCCUGCUUCCAGGAAAAGCCUCUAAGCAUCAGGUAACAUCAAAUCGUACCCCAAACCGACACAGGUGGUCAGGUAGAGAAUACCAAGGCGCUUGAGAGAACUCGGGUGAAGGAACUAGGCAAAAUGGUGCCGUAACUUCGGGAGAAGGCACGC